GAUCUGGCUCAGGAUGAACGCUAGCUACAGGCUUAACACAUGCAAGUCGAGGGGCAGCGGGAAGUCAGCUUGCUGACUUUGCCGGCGACCGGCGCACGGGUGAGUAACACGUAUCCAACCUCCCGCAUACUCGGGAAUAGCCUUUCGAAAGAAAGAUUAAUGCCCGAUGGUUUCAAGGGAUUGCAUGGUAUCUUGAAUAAAGAUUCAUCGGUAUGCGAUGGGGAUGCGUUCCA
This 233-nucleotide ribosomal RNA is filed under the name uncultured bacterium. RNAcentral describes it as "partial 16S ribosomal RNA". It matches the Rfam family "Bacterial small subunit ribosomal RNA", at positions 15 to 240 of the family's 1533-position model. The record is from RNAcentral.